This 813-nucleotide long non-coding RNA is filed under the name Marmota monax (woodchuck). Lineage: Eukaryota; Metazoa; Chordata; Mammalia; Rodentia; Sciuridae. The record is from RNAcentral.
AGAGAGAGAGAGAGAGAGAGAGAGAGAGAGAGAUAUCUGUGAUCAUUUACUUCUCUCCAGUGUUAACUGCCAGAAACACACAGACUGGUCCCCAAAGCUCUCAGGUGACCCACAGCUACGAUAUCACCACAAAGCACAGAUGUGCCCACAGAGGAGGUGCCUGUUACAACCCUUCCAACACAAGAAAAAGAGCCAGGGCUACACAGAGAGCCUGGAGCCACCUACAUGUACAUGCUUAAAAUGGAAGAUUUAAAAUAAACAUCCAGAUUCCUAGCUUCUCCUGAAAAAUUGUGGACCCGAAAGCAUGGAGCCCCCACACCCUCGUGGCUACCACUGGCUGUGCCUGGGUGGUCUCUGCUGCCCUUAGAGAGAGUGCCCUCCCAGCCACCCUGUCACAUUCUCCAGGCUCUGAUCACACAGUCACGCAACCCCUUGGUCGCCCCUGGGGCCUUGGAUUGGCAUUCCCUCUCCUACCUUUCAAGAACACGAGAUGGUCCCAGGGAGAGGUGCAGAAAAAUGUGGGUGAAGGUGUGCAGGUGGGACCCUGGGGUAUUACAGGCGGCAAGUGAGAACCCUGGGGUGUGUGCAGGACAGAGCAAGUGGUUUCCUGGGCCAUCGGGGCCUGCAAAGCAGGACAGAGAGAGAGAGAGCAAAAAUGACGCUGGAGAAGUCACAAGGGCCCUACCGCACAUGGGGGUCCUGUGUGCCAUGCACAGGACCCUGUCCUGAACCCGGAGGGCAAUGGCGAGCCUCAGAGCUCUGUGCCGGGAACAUGGUGAUGUGCGAGUCUGGGGAACCCGCGGUGGAGAGAAU